AGUGAACGCUGGCGGUAGGCCUAACACAUGCAAGUCGAACGGCAGCACAGUAAGAGCUUGCUCUUACGGGUGGCGAGUGGCGGACGGGUGAGGAAUACAUCGGAAUCUACUUUUUCGUGGGGGAUAACGUAGGGAAACUUACGCUAAUACCGCAUACGACCUACGGGUGAAAGCAGGGGAUCUUCGGACCUUGCGCGAUUGAAUGAGCCGAUGUCGGAUUAGCUAGUUGGCGGGGUAAAGGCCCACCAAGGCGACGAUCCGUAGCUGGUCUGAGAGGAUGAUCUGCCACACUGGAACUGAAGCACGGUCCAGACUCCUACGGGAGGCAGCAGUGGGGAAUAUUGGACAAUGGGCGCAAGCCUGAUCCAGCCAUACCGCGUGGGUGAAGAAGGCCUUCGGGUUGUAAAGCCCUUUUGUUGGGAAAGAAAAGCAGCAGGUUAAUACCCCGCUGUUCUGACGGUACCCAAAGAAUAAGCACCGGCUAAGUUCGUG
Molecule: ribosomal RNA, 492 nt
Filed under: uncultured bacterium
Lineage: Bacteria
Description: partial 16S ribosomal RNA
Rfam family: Bacterial small subunit ribosomal RNA
Source: RNAcentral